CUAAAAUUUGAGUAUGAAAAAAAAAAAUUUUAAUUGAUCUCAGCACAGUAGCUAUGGUGAUCUGUUGACCUCAGUGUUUGUAGUUGGGGGUUAACAUUCAUGBCAAGAAUCAGAUUACAACCAUAGAAUGACGAUUUUGUACCAUUUUGAAAUGCUUAUAUCUCACAAACUAUUGGUGGGUCGGGGUGGGCCGCCUGCUUUAAAUCAAAGUUUAUUCUUUCAUCUUUCUAUACAUUUGAUUAUCUGCCAUUAAAUCUUUAAAAACAUAUAAGUUCUCAUGCCUUAAACAUUCCUACUUGAAAGCGAUCUUCGAGUAAAUAGCGCGUAUUGUGAUUCAAAGGGCUCGUUUUAGUUGAUAUUUUCCUUCUUUGGUUGUAAUUUUUCAAUAUGUUCAACCUAUGUUUAUGUACUUCGAGCUCCAASAGUUUCAAGAAAAAAAUCUAUUGAAUAGUCUCAAAAAUCGGCUGUUUUUUUGUCUUGGUCUGACCUUUUCUUUGCCGAAAUCUCAUGUCGCGCAAAGUUAAAAGUGGCUUUGUGAUUGGCUGGUUUCUGCACCAUAUCCUUUUCGGAGGAGUGUCCUGCCUCCUCUGGUCAAAAAAUAGUAAUUUUUGUUAUUUAUUUCUCAUGAUUUUGCUCAGAAAAGAGCAAAAUCGACCCAUAGCGAUGGACUGACCUUGCUUGACAACCAGCCAGUCAUCCGCAAAGUCACACAAAUUUGCAUACUCUAUUUACAGCAAUGUUUGUUGAAGCAGAAAAUAAUCCGAUUUGCUCGACAAUCUUGCUUGUUUCAAUAGCGCUCCGCACAGAUGACGUCACACAUUUUGCACCCCGUCGAGAACUCAGACAAACUUUACAAUGCUGCAUACUAAUCCUUGGUAAAUUCGCCAUCUUUAGUCAUCGAUAAUGGGUAGUUAAACGCAACGAAUUUCUAUUCUGACUUAAGAUUAUAACGUGUAGGGCUCUUAACUUUGAUAAACUUGUAAAGAAUUCCAAAUUCGAGUGAAUAAAACGAUGUUUCAYGGCCCCUUAUCUCACCCUAAUCUCGAAUUAUUUAGGGCUCCAAAUCUUAAAAUUGAAGCUAUAUCGUCAGAAAAAUAGCAUUUUAAAGACUUUUUGAGCAAUAGGCAUCUCAUUUAGGAAUCUAAAUCAAACAAAGUCAAGAAAUAGAGUAUUCAAAGAAGCAGAAAAUUAUAUAAUAUAAAGUAAAUGUGAGCAAAAGUAAAGCAAAAGCGGGCCGUUAAACUGGCCCAAAACUUGUGAUUAAACUAAUAGGAAACCAUUAUGUAUAUACGAAUUAGCUUGAGUUGAUAUUUCUUUAGAAUUUAUUUUUUAUUCGCAUAAUACUAGUCAAUUGAGUUUUCAAGUUUGACAUAAAGAUCACACACAACGCCAUGAUCCUCCAAGAUUCGAUGGAAUCAAAUGCGUUUUAAUGAAGUUUACUUUGCUCCUAACAACUAAAGCAGCCGAUUUCGAUUAUCUCCAAAUACUUCUAGAGUAGUUGUUCUGGCAAAAAUUUAUAUAAAACACAUUUUAUACUACCGUAACAUAGGUCAGGUAGCGGGCAUAAGUCCCAAGACGAUAGGCGGAUCUGCGAGACAUUCAGGGCAUUUACAGAUGAUAUUCCAUGGUCCAAUGAAGCAGUAGUGCUUACUCGACAUAAUCGUUAUGUUUAAAAGCUUCUAGUACGAAUAUAAUUGAAGAUAUUUCUCGAUGAGAUCAGUGGUUUUUUGGUGUGUAUGGCGUGUUUGGGUUCAAUGUCUGAGUCCAUAGGGGGUCGCAUAUUAAUGUAUCUAUUUUUAGUAACUGUGCGGAGCGCUAUUAAUUUUUGCCGUUUUUUGCGUGGACAUAUCUAAAAUAGUUAUUGAGCAAAUUGUUGAGGUUUUGUUUAUGGUCAACACUCUAAAUCUUUUGUUUUUAUAAUCUGCAAAACAGCUAAAAGACUAGAACUGCRGCUACAUUCAAACAUAAUGCAGUCGAUUUGCGUGGCAUAUCGGCAUAAUAUUUGAUGUUUUGCACGGCGAUUGCAAGCUUAAUAAGCGCAUUGAAAGAAUGCAUUUGCUUUUCAAAGCUACUUUACUGCUUCUGUUUUAUCGUUGGUUGAACUACUGAAGUUAUUUAAAACUUGACAACAGAAUGCCGAAAUAAACGUAGCUAACAAUAACAACAACUCUUCGUGGCACGACAACUAUUUUAAAGUAUGUAAAAGAAAAUCUAAUUUUAUUUGGUCUGAAACCCAUUAGCAGAAAUGAGAGACAUUUUGCUCCCGCGUUAUAUUUGAUCUGCAGUUUCAUUAAGGUCCAGUGAGUAGGCCCAGUGGUGUCAAUUUCACAUAACAAACAUGGCAAUGGAGCGUUCUCGCAGUGGACAAUGAGCCAAAAUUUUUGAGUAGAAAAAAGUACAAGAAAGGAUCAAAGAUUUACCAAGUUGAGAGAAUUAUUAGCAGGCGGACAUCGAACAAGAAGGGUUUUGAAUACCUUGUGAAGUGGGAGUAUUGGACGCUCUGGGCAUGUUCGUGGGAACCAUCCGAACAUUUAAACAAACAUUUAAUAAGGAACCACAAUAACCCAUCAGUUUGCCCGGAAAGGAUACAGAAAGUGGCUUCUUUGCUUCUGGACGCAAUUUUGUCUGUUCUGAAAUCCAACGCAGCAAAAGUCAUACAUUCUGUUGAUGUAAAGAUUGAACAUGA
This is a long non-coding RNA of Exaiptasia diaphana, 2686 nucleotides long. RefSeq lists it as uncharacterized. NCBI's taxonomy places the organism in Eukaryota, Metazoa, Cnidaria, Anthozoa, Actiniaria, Aiptasiidae. The record is from RefSeq and is a predicted model, not a curated record. The transcript is spliced from 3 exons.